RNAcentral lists this ribosomal RNA (475 nucleotides) under uncultured bacterium. RNAcentral's name for it is "bacterial SSU rRNA". It matches the Rfam family "Bacterial small subunit ribosomal RNA", at positions 28 to 507 of the family's 1533-position model. The record is from RNAcentral.
GACGAACGCUGGCGGCGUGCCUCAAACAUGCAAGUCGAGCGAGGUGAAACCGAACCGCAAGGGGAGGUUGAACCUAGCGGCGAACGGGUGAGUAACACGUGGGUAACCUGCCUGGAAGAUCGGGAUAACGGCUCGAAAGAGUCGCUAAUACCGGAUAAUGUCCUGGUGCUGCAUGGCACCGGGAAGAAAGGGGAAACCCGCUUUCAGAUGGGCCCGCGCCCCAUCAGCUAGUUGGUAAGGUAACGGCUUACCAAGGCGACGACGGGUAGCCGGUCUGAGAGGACGAUCGGCCACACUGGGACUGAGAUACGGCCCAGACUCCUACGGGAGGCAGCAGUUGGGAAUCUUAGGCAAUGGGCGAAAGCCUGACCUAGCGACGCCGCGUGAGGGAAGAAGGCCUUCGGGUCGUAAACCUCUGUCAUGGGGGACGAAGAAAGUGACGGUACCCCAGGAGGAAGCCCCUGCUAACUACGUG